UUACCAGAUCUUGACAUCCAAUUGACCAUCUUUUAAUCGUAGAUUUUGCCUUCGGGUACAAUUGAGGACAGGUGGUGCAUGGUUGUCGUCAGCUCGUGUCGUGAGAUGUUGGGUUAAGUCCCGCAACGAGCGCAACCCUUGUGUUUAGUUGCAAACAGGUCAAGCUGUGCACUCUAGACAGACUGCCGUGGACAACACGGAGGAAGGUGGGGGAUGACGUCAAAUCAUCAUGCCCCUUAUGAUCUGGGCUACACACGUGCUACAAUGGCCGGUACAACGGGCAGCGAAGGAGCGAUCCGGAGCGAAUCCUAAAAAGCCGGUCCCAGUUCGGAUUGCAGGCUGAAACUCGCCUACAUGAAGUUGGAGUUGCUAGUAAUCGCGAAUCAGAAUGUCGCGGUGAAUGCGUUCCCGGGUCUU
This 417-nucleotide ribosomal RNA is filed under the name uncultured Fusibacter sp. RNAcentral's name for it is "bacterial SSU rRNA". It matches the Rfam family "Bacterial small subunit ribosomal RNA", at positions 971 to 1382 of the family's 1533-position model. The record is from RNAcentral. Lineage: Bacteria; Bacillati; Bacillota; Clostridia; Eubacteriales; Fusibacteraceae.